Molecule: ribosomal RNA, 508 nt
Filed under: uncultured bacterium
Lineage: Bacteria
Description: partial 16S ribosomal RNA
Rfam family: Bacterial small subunit ribosomal RNA
Source: RNAcentral
AUUGAACGCUGGCGGCAUGCCUUACACAUGCAAGUCGAACGGCAGCGGGGGAGAAGCUUGCUUUUCCUGCCGGCGAGUGGCGAACGGGUGAGUAAUACAUCGGAACGUGCCCUGUAGUGGGGGAUAACUAGUCGAAAGAUUAGCUAAUACCGCAUACGACCUGAGGGUGAAAGUGGGGGACCGCAAGGCCUCAUGCUAUAGGAGCGGCCGAUGUCUGAUUAGCAAGUUGGUGGGGUAAAGGCCUACCAAGGCGACGAUCAGUAGCUGGUCUGGGAGGACGAUCAGCCACACUGGGACUGAGACACGGCCCAGACUCCUACGGGAGGCAGCAGUGGGGAAUUUUGGUCAAUGGGCGAAAGCCUGAUCCAGCAAUGCCGCGUGUGUGAAGAAGGCCUUCGGGUUGUAAAGCACUUUUGUCCGGAAAGAAAUGGCUCUGGUUAAUACCUGGGGUCGAUGACGGUACCGGAAGAAUAAGGACCGGCUAACUACGUGCCAGCCGCCGCGGUAA